UGAGCAGAAGACGGCGUUGGAGAAACUGUCCAGCGGUACAGAGCUGCUGAGCCUCUCCACCUCGGACAGGAGCGGACAAGUGGAGGACAGCGAGGAAGGAGUGUCCAAGUGUCUCAUUCAAGACUUGGUAAACAAGAAUCAGGAGCUCAAGGAGGAGAUAUACAGCCUGAAGAAAGAAGUGGAGACGCUUAAAAAUCGCUUAGUCAGAUCUUGCUAAACCAACAAGAUCGUCUGGUCUUUGUAUCUGGUGGAGCCCUACACCAGCUAACUGGCCAGGCCCAGUCCCAGGUCAGCAGGGAGGUUGAGCAUGUCCCAGAGACACUGGAAGCUCUGACGGACGUAGGGGAACUACAGAAGAAGCAAAGAAAUAAAAAAAAGUAAACAAACGCUGAAAAGCGGGAAAAGAAGAAACAAAAGACCAAAUAAAGAGUUAUGUUGUGUCAA
Molecule: long non-coding RNA, 444 nt
Organism: Ictalurus punctatus (channel catfish)
Lineage: Eukaryota; Metazoa; Chordata; Actinopteri; Siluriformes; Ictaluridae
Source: Ensembl